AAUUACAAAGUUUAAAUCUUGUAACUGAAUUAAGCUGAAUUAAGAACUCUAAAUAAAAGAUUUCCCUAAACUCAAAUAAGAUUGGCAAAUAUUCAUAGAAGAAUUUAUAAUUCUUUUGGAUGAACAUGACCCAGGGUUUCCUGAUUGUUAUAGAUGGAAUGUUUUUUUUCCCCGAACUCAACUGUUGAGGCCCUAACUUCCAGUGUGACAGUAUUUGGAGAUGGGCUCUUUGGGAUGUGAUUAGGGUUAGAUUAACUUAUGAGGGUGAGGACCUCCUGAUGGAAUUAAUGACCUUAUUAGAAGAAGAAGAAAUCUUUCUCUUCUUGUCUGUGAAAAAGCAAAGAGGAAAGGCCAGGUGAGGACACAGUAAGUAGGCAGCCAUCUGCAACCCAAGGAAAGAACACUUCCCACCCCCUAGAACUGUGAGAAAAUAAAUUUCUGUUGCUUAAACCACACAGUACGUGGCAUUUUUUUAUGACAGUCCUAGUGUUGCAGGACGUUUCCUUAGUUCAGCUAAAGACAGGGUUCUUGUCUGUCCCAUGGCCAUGAAAAUUUAGGCUUGCAAAUGGUUCGAAGGGUGAAUAAAGCUGGGUUUUAUUGGGUGAAAGGGAAAAAAGGGGGGAUCUGCUAGAGCGCUUCCUGCCAGGCAGUUUGAAUCUCAAUUUCCACCCAGGAAGAGAAGGGGACAGGCUCAGGCUCCUCCCUAUGGCAAAGGUCCUGAAUUUCCCCAGGCUCCACCUCUGUGGGCAGGCUGAUUGGAGUUUCUCCAGGGAACCCUUCCCAUUAGCAGUCUCUGUCUCACUAGCAGUGUAACACACUGACCUAUGUGUGACCUUUAACAACUUGCAGUCAUGUUGGUUAAAAUCCGAAAUGCUAAAUCCUGGAUGACAAAAGCUGGUUAUGUUUUCCUGGAAAGGGAGCUAUAGAAUCCUUCUUCCCACAAUAAAUCUGAGGGUCAAAAAGAAAAAAAAUUUUUAAAGGCUAUAAGAGUAGGUUGAAGUCUCCUAAAAGCCAGACCUGAAACAUUUUCAACAAAAAUUAAUUGGGCCAUAAUUCAGUCAUGCAAACUGAUGAAACUAAAGGAGAUUUUCAGAAUAGACUAGAAAAUACCUUCCAACAUUUGGAAGCUAAAGAAGAUGUUGAUGUAAUAGCUACUCUUUCGUCUCAUUUUGCCAAUGGAGUUAAGCUUGAAAUUGAAGAUCCAAUUUAAAAACUAAUUAGAAUGGAAAUAGCCCCCUUAUCUGCAGUACAAUACCUAGUACAGCAUUUUGAAAGGGCUUUAGAACAAAAAUGAAACAGGUUCUAAAAUAAACUUGUAGCACUACUAAUCCAACAGCUAGGUUACCCAUUUUAUAACAAGUGACUUGUUGACAAGGUCAUGUUUGGAUAUUGUUAACAGGACACAGGAAAGAAGAUUGUCCCAUCUUACAAGAGACAAAAAAAGACAGAAAAAUUCCUAAUUCAGAUCAAUUGAUGUUCUCACAAAAACCAGAAAAGGAAAAAGCAUCCAAUAUUCUGCCUGAUGCUAAACAAUCAGUGAAUACGAUACAAAUAUAGAUGGUCAACUUCAUCAAUUCCUGGUUUGGGUGACAUUUUGAAAAGCCAAGGUUGAGGAGGCAUCAUAUUGUUUUAAAGUCUAACUUCCUCAAAUAUUUGACACACUCACAUUGGAACAGGAAUGAGAAGAUGUCCAUAACUCUAACAUGGUAGAAGAAGGAUACCUAACUCAUCUCUUAGACUUAUGAUAUGCAAGGUUUAAUGCUGUUCUGGACCACAAAAAAAAGAGAUACUGCAAUUGGUCCAUGGCCUGCUGGUUGAUGGUUCCCAUGCUAUUGUACACGAAGGUGCUGCUCAGGAGGAUGGCCAGGGCAAAGAUCCAGGAGUCAUUCUCAUUGUCACCCUGCCCUCAGUGUCGAGCAGAACUAGGGUGUGUCCUGGCUUCUUGGGAUGCGGCUCGCACCACAUCCAGAUUCCUUUGGUGUGAGAUUUCACUGUGGAGCCCAGAGGGAAGCCUGCAAAGGAGAGGAUAAAAUGGAGAAGAGAUUAAUUAGCUGGAUGAUCGCAGUGUGUAUGGACAGGAGGGACUUGGCAAAGCUUUGCUGGUGUCACUUACCCUUGUUCUUCCCAGCCAGCCUGU
Long non-coding RNA from Sapajus apella (tufted capuchin), 2137 nucleotides. RefSeq lists it as uncharacterized. Lineage: Eukaryota; Metazoa; Chordata; Mammalia; Primates; Cebidae. The record is from RefSeq and is a predicted model, not a curated record. The transcript is spliced from 6 exons.